Molecule: ribosomal RNA, 162 nt
Filed under: Elatostema dissectum
Lineage: Eukaryota; Viridiplantae; Streptophyta; Magnoliopsida; Rosales; Urticaceae
Description: 5.8S ribosomal RNA
Rfam family: 5.8S ribosomal RNA
About the family: 5.8S ribosomal RNA (5.8S rRNA) is a component of the large subunit of the eukaryotic ribosome.
Source: RNAcentral
AAUGACUCUCGGCAACGGAUAUCUCRGCUCUCGCAUCGAUGAAGAACGUAGCAAAAUGCGAUACGUGGUGUGAAUUGCAGAAUUCCGUGAACCAUCGAGUAUUUGAACGCAAGUUGCGCCCGAUGUCUUUCGACUGAGGGCACGUCUGCCUGGGCGUCACGC